CGUCGAAUUUUGUCCGUUACGUUUUCCACGCAAGAACAGACAUACGUGAUCAUAGGUGCGAACGGUGGCGUGACCUAAGUAGAGUGGGGGUCGUCUUAAACAUGAGACAAAGGAAUCAUCUAAAGUCAGUUAGUUCCUUGUGACACGUCGAACGUUACACAUUGAAUCGAAUCUAACACAUAACGUCUGUCUCAAGCUGCGAAGUGCGAUAGAUCUCGUUAUAAGCAAACCGCUAAACAAACCUUGACUGUUAUCUUUUUCGUUUUUAAUUGUUGAUCUUUGACUGAACUUAUUAUUUCGUUGUCUUUAUUAAACUUAUAUCAACCAACCCAGUAUAGUUGUUCAUAUACACUCAAACCUAACCACCUCUAUUCUCGUAAUAGAAAUAGGGGAUCAAUCAGUUCGUGGCGUCGAUUGUUUAAUCGUAACGAGAAUUUACGACUCUCGUUGACGCGUUAUCUAGCGAUCGCGUCUCUCCGCGAACGGUUGAAACAAAAGUAUAUCCACAGUAGAUAUGUGACAUAGAUAAGAGGCAUCCGCUAUUAGGAAAUAUUAUGUUCAGAUAAUAAAUCGUUCUUACAUUGGAAUAUUGGGAUAAUGCGGGAGGGAUAAUGGGGACUCUACUGUAUACAGUGUUACGAUCUGGUGUUGAUCUUCGAUGUUCGUAACCGUUAUGUGCAAUUCUAGAUGUCGAAUCUGGAGUUUCUCGAAUUAUAUCUAAAUCAAAACAGUAGUUCCUGCUACCAGAAAUAGUCGUUAAACUGUUUCGAUUAGCUUGAUUUUCGUUCGUUAAUGUUUGAAACAAUGGAAACGGCUGAAUGGAACAGUUUCCAAAACUUGUCGUACUCUUCUGAAGCGCGGGACUAUUUCGAAUAUCCCAAUAUGCCGUGCUCUUAGUAUCUUUAAGACAACUGAGUAAAAUAUAUUCGGAAACUUGUCGUUUCCUUUAAAGCGUGACACUAUUUUUAGAUUGCAAACUGCUGUUGUUGGACCGUUCGCGAAGAGACGCGAUUGCGGAGGAGUCAGGUCAAUGGGUGUCGUAAAUUCCUGUUACAAUUAGAUUAUCGACGCCACGAACUGAACGAUUCCCUAUUUCGGUUAGGAUAAUAGAGGUGAUUGAAUUAGUAUAACACUGAAUUAACAGGUUAUAAAAUACACUUUAUUCCAACAACUUGUCUCGCAGCGAGUAUAAAUGUUCGGAGAGACUCGCGUGGUAUGUUACGAUGUCGAAUUGUAAUGUCGUUUACAAUAAGGUUAAAAGUGUUCGGCUCGAAUAGUUACUAGCAAGACUACGAUGUUAAUAGUAUGAUUUAGCGAUUUAGCGAUUUAGCGACUAGGCGAUUAAUAAAGAGAUUUGACAACUUGGCAACUUGGCGACUAACUUUUGACUGACUAUCGGCUGUCGUGUUAUUACGGAAGGAAAGAACGUUAUGAGUGUGUCUAGAGUACGAAGAAAGCGAAUUCGCUUAUGGCACGUUUCAUUGGGAAAAAUGAGGGUAACGAUCAGCGAUGCCAAUUGAUUAGAAAAAACGUUAGUGGAUGAUAAUAGGUAGAACAACCAAGAAUCAUCAAUAGACCAAAGACACUUACGAGACUUCAGAGUUCUCAUUGUUAAGAUACUAAGAUUUAUGGUGACCCUUUAGCUUUAUUGAAGGUCUUGAGGAGUAAGGGUAGAUGGACAUCUGGCGACCAGACAAAGAGGGAUGGCUGCGGUUUAUAUCAUGCGACGUAACAGCUGUAUCCAUGAUGUUUUAAUUCGUUAAUAUAACCGUAUACGUAGCGUAAACUAGCGUAUCAAUACAAUUGAUAAAUAUAAUUUGAAUUUCGGCUUAACCGCUAUGUGCAGGAGUAAUAGCACGGAAAUGAUUAAUGUUUCCUUGGAAUAAAUAAAUACUUUCAAUAUCUUCAUUAUUGACAAUGAUAGUCAAUAAAUAAUUUUACUCGAGUAAAUGUGGUGCAAGACCGAAAUCGAAAAAGAAAGUGUUACAAUGUUUAGCUCCUCACCUUGCUUAUAUGUGUUGUCGAUCGCAGUUUUGGACUAUCGUACGAAGUUAGUCUAGUUGCUAGAUGAUUGACUAUAUUAAUUGUUGACGAUUGAUUUCUGUUUAAAUGCUUGGUUUCAUUCCUUGACGUUACUCAAAGACUAUAGUAAAGCAAUUCGCAGCUUCGCAAAGAUUACUGUUCUUCUGAAUUUGAUAUUAACUCUCGACCAAUUCUGUACUUGACUUAACUGACUCUUACUGACUGAAUGACCGAAUCCUUAAAAAAUUUUUAGCUGACUGACUACUGUCUCUAAGUGGCUACACUUAUUUAUAGUAAGACUAUCAUGGAUAAUUGUUAUGUAAUUAUUCAAUACUAGCGCGGAGUUGUGGUACGUGAUUAUUUCUGCGGGCGCUGCAUACUUUGGUUCAGCUGCUUUCCUUCCAGAAAUAUUAGGGUUGCAGCUGAUGUGGUUUUCGUGGAAGUAUUGUUCAAGUUUCCCUUUUUCCUUUACUAGUUGUACUCUACUAAACACCUGGUUACCUUGCUUAUACCGGUACUUGAUCCUUUGGCGCGUGCCAGUUGUUUGUCGCUGUUGAUGCUGUGUGAAAAGGGCAUAGCAGCUCAUCUUUCAUUGUCUGCUUAUUGUAUGGUGUAUUGUCAUAGGAAAAGCGCGUGCAAGGCGGUACGUGUCAGUGAACGCCUCAUUGUUCCUUGUUUCUAUUUCGAUAUUCUUAUAUUUUAAAUUUGUUCAAUAAUAAUGUUGUGUCUUGGUUUCUUGAUUUAUUGCGAUAUUUAAGUAUUUGGACGCGUCGUAUCUCUUAUUGCCUUUUUCUCUUAUUAUAGAUUCCUGUUUUUAAUUCCAUAUACCUAGACUUGUGGCUCGUGUUAGUCAUUAGUAACGGCGUAUUACGUUACGGCUCGUGUGGAGUGCGAGACCUCAAGGAACGAAUUCGAACAAAUGGUAAGCGCCAGCUUACAUCAUACAAAUCGUAGCAAAGAAAAUUAUGGAGAUUCGAAAUCACAAUCCAUCCUGCGUGAUGUUUUCUGAGAAAAAUUAUCGAUUAUAGAUUAAACCUGUUUACUUAUUGAAAUCUAUAACGCCUUAUAGCAAAUAUAAGUCCUUUUGCUUCCAUAAGUAAUUAAUAAAUAAGAGCACAUAUAAACAAUGAUUAUACAGAUUUCACAUAUGCACUGCAAUCGUCCUGUUCGCGGGUGCCCACAGAAAAAUCACGUACGCAUUAAGUAUUCUCGAGGUGUUACAUUUGUGGGUGAACACUGCUUCAUAUGAACCACGCACAUUUUCCACAUAAAUUACUGAUCGCUGCAAAUUACGAUAUUUACAUAUAUAGACAAAAGAUAAAAAAAUGAAAAAGCCUACGGGAACUAUAAGAAGAUUGUUUAAGCUUAAGAUCUCAGCUGUAACAAAUUUUGUACAUUAUUUUUAAAAUUUUUCCGCUUAUUAUUUGAUAAUUCAGUGUCAUUUAUUGGAACUGAAAGUGCGAACAUUCUGAAACAUGGAUACAAUCAAUUAAAAAACGAAUGAAGAUGGGAUCAAUAAACCUUCUACGCCGGUAGUGGGAUUCUUGUGACUGGAGCAACCGAUUUCGUUGGAAAAGGUCUCCUGGAAAACCUGAUCCGCAUGUGUCCGCGCAUCACUGUCAUUUUUAUACUACUUCGUCCAAAAACGGACGAAACGAUAGAACAACGAUUUAAGAAGCUGAUAGAUGAUCACGUUCUUGUCUCUUUCAAUAUUUAAGCAUGUCAGGAGCCAAAUUGAUUAAACUUCUUUUCUGGAAUUGAGUUGGUAUUUUUUCGUCUUCAGAUUCACGAUGACAUCAAAGCAAAACACCCCUCAGCUUUGAGCAGAGUUUAUCCCAUAAAAAGUGCCGUUAGUCUGCCAGAUUUAGAUCUUUCGCAAGAAGAUAGAAAUCUGUUGUUAGAGAAAGUAAAUGUAGUGUUUCACGUUGCGACCACUGUGAGAUUCAACGAGCCGUUACACGUAGCUGCUAAGGCAUCCCAUUAGCUUCGUCUACCACGAGCUUGAAACCUUCAGAGGUGAUCGAUAUGUGUGACAAAUUCGACAAAACGUCGAUCAACAAAAUAGAAAAAAAGACUUUAAAAACUUAUCCAAACACAUAUACAUUCAGUAAGAAUAUGUCAGAGCAGAUUAUAGCAAGCAAGUGCAGAGAUCUGCCAUUUGCGAUAGUACGGCCAAGCAUAAUUGGUGCCUCUUUGGAAGAGCCAUGUCCUGAUUGGAUACAGAAUAUUUCUGCAGCUACAGGUACCUUUUUGCUAAUCGGCAGAGGUGUGCAACAGCAGUAUGGUGCAGGAGAGAUACAAGAUUGGAUAUAUUGCCUGUCGAUUUCGUAGUCGAUACGAUAAUAUGUAUUGCAUGGCAUGUUACGUUGCAUCGUGAUCACGAAGUUAAAGUAUACAACUGCGCGAGUAACGCAUACCCUUUUAAGUAAUAUUUAUUGCGAUUUUUUACGAACUAAUGUAAUUCGAUUGUUAGAGUAUUCCAAAGUUUAUUUAAGAAACGUGGAUAAUGAAAGCACAAACAAAUGUAGAAUAUAAAAGUCCACUCUUGCUCCCAAUACUUCAAUUUUGGAAAAAAGUAAUAUAAAUAAUAUUUAUUGAAAUUUCAUAAUAUUUUCUGAGGUUUGGUCCGAUGGUAGAUGCUAUGGUAAAAUGUAGCAUAGAUACCUCACUGAACGAUACGCUAUGGUACCCCGGUUGUUCAGUCGUAGCUAAUAGAUAUAUUUGCAACGUUCUGAGCGUAAUUCCGCGCGUUUUACCUGCGUUCGUCAUAGAUAUAUUUUUAAGACUCCGAGGUUGUAAACCAAUAACUUCUCAGAAAUAGCAAUAAGCUGUUCUCAUCAUUUUUCAUUUUUUACCAUACACGAGUGAACUUUCCAAAGGGAUAACUGUUCCGACUUGGCGAGGAAGGUGAAAAUGUUACACGACCAUUUGCGAUAUGAUCAAACUAGAUUUCCGGGAUAUGGAUUGGGAGAAUUAUGGUGUAAUUUACCAGAUGGGAAUUAAGAAAUUUAUUCUGAAAGAAGAGUUUAAGUCAACAGCCCGACAACGAUUAUCAAGGUUGCACUGGAUACAUCAGAUAAUAAUAAUAAUUUUGCUAUGGAUAAUGUUAUAAUUAGUGUACUGACUAUUUGAAUGCUACUUUUUUCUCUUUGAACCAAGAACAAUGUAAAUAGAAUUUUAUAAAGAAGGGAUUCAUCAUUGCUUUCAUUUUGUCUUUCUACUCGUUUGAUUUCUAAAUAUAUUCAUUUAUGACAUUGCUUAA
This is a long non-coding RNA of Bombus terrestris (buff-tailed bumblebee), 5284 nucleotides long. RefSeq lists it as uncharacterized. The record is from RefSeq and is a predicted model, not a curated record. The transcript has 7 exons. NCBI's taxonomy places the organism in Eukaryota, Metazoa, Arthropoda, Insecta, Hymenoptera, Apidae.